This 81-nucleotide non-coding RNA is filed under the name Enterobacter cloacae MRSN 11489. The record is from RNAcentral. Lineage: Bacteria; Pseudomonadati; Pseudomonadota; Gammaproteobacteria; Enterobacterales; Enterobacteriaceae.
AGCAAAUAACUCAGGUAUUCAGUACGACAUUGCUCACAUUGCUUCCAGUAUUUCUUGCCCACUUUUUAGUGGGCUUUUUUU